CGGGGGAUACUCAAGUGGUUAAGAGAACAGUUUGCUAAACUGUCAGGCCGGGUGACCGGCGCGGGAGUUCAAGUCUCCCUCCCUCGGCCA
This 90-nucleotide transfer RNA is filed under the name Lachnospiraceae bacterium. RNAcentral's name for it is "tRNA-Ser". It matches the Rfam family "tRNA". Rfam says of the family: Transfer RNA (tRNA) molecules are approximately 80 nucleotides in length. Their secondary structure includes four short double-helical elements and three loops (D, anti-codon, and T loops). Further hydrogen bonds mediate the characteristic L-shaped molecular structure. tRNAs have two regions of fundamental functional importance: the anti-codon, which is responsible for specific mRNA codon recognition, and the 3' end, to which the tRNAs corresponding amino acid is attached (by aminoacyl-tRNA synthetases). tRNAs cope with the degeneracy of the genetic code in two manners: having more than one tRNA (with a specific anti-codon) for a particular amino acid; and 'wobble' base-pairing, i.e. permitting non-standard base-pairing at the 3rd anti-codon position. Lineage: Bacteria; Bacillati; Bacillota; Clostridia; Lachnospirales; Lachnospiraceae. The record is from RNAcentral.